RNAcentral lists this ribosomal RNA (428 nucleotides) under uncultured bacterium. RNAcentral describes it as "bacterial SSU rRNA". It matches the Rfam family "Bacterial small subunit ribosomal RNA", at positions 355 to 774 of the family's 1533-position model. The record is from RNAcentral.
UAGGGAAUCUUCCGCAAUGGACGAAAGUCUGACGGAGCAACGCCGCGUGAGUGAUGAAGGCUUUCGGGUCGUAAAACUCUGUUGUUAGGGAAGAACAAGUGCUAGUUGAAUAAGCUGGCACCUUGACGGUACCUAACCAGAAAGCCACGGCUAACUACGUACCAGCAGCCGCGGUCAUACGUAGGUGGCAAGCGUUAUCCGGAAUUAUUGGGCGUAAAGCGCGCGCAGGUGGUUUCUUAAGUCUGAUGUGAAAGCCCACGGCUCAACCGGUGAGGGUCAUUGGAAACUGGGAGACGUGAGUGCAGAAGAGGAAAGUGGAAUUCAAUGUGGAGCGGUGAAAUGCGUAGAGAUAUGGAGGAACACCAGGGGCGAAGGCGACUUUCUGGUCUGUAACUGACACUGAGGCGCGAAAGCGUGGGGAGCAAACA